Molecule: long non-coding RNA, 1253 nt
Organism: Ailuropoda melanoleuca (giant panda)
Lineage: Eukaryota; Metazoa; Chordata; Mammalia; Carnivora; Ursidae
Exons: 3
Source: RefSeq, a predicted model, not a curated record
CCGGGAGUUGAGGGAGCGCGGACACCCCGGGGAAGAGGUCGUAAGUCUCCGGGUCUGAAGCCGGUGGAGAGAAGGAAUGUAUUGCUUCCUUCAUCAGGAAAACUUGAGGUGGCAUGCAAAAAUACAUAGGCCACAGAUAUUUUAAAAAUAUGAAGAAAUCCAGUCAAAGGGAGAAAAUACAGGUGAAGGCUGAAGCCCAGUGGAUGAGAAGAUGGAGAGCCUGGCUACAGUUUGGUCAAGGAGAGAAUCUUUCUCAGGAGCAGGCAUUGUUCUACAUUUUUUUUUACAUGUUAUCCCAUUUACUGUUCACAAAAUCCCUGUGAGGUGGGUGAUGAUGUUGUCCGCACUUUAUAGAUGAGGACACUGCAGUGCAGAGAUAUUAACAAGUUUAUAUGGAUGGUAAGGGUCAAGAAUUAAAUCCAGGCAUCCUGACAGCACAGCUGAAACUAAUAUUUUAAUAAUUAAUUAUUGGCAUUAUAAGGAUAGGGCUGCCUCUGUGGAUUUGGGAUCUCACCUAAAAGGUGAGAUUAUUUAUUGCAUCAGUCACCAGAGAAUAGAAUCGUGUCUCUCAGAGGAAACAGAAGAGGGGCAGAGAAACUUCAUUGUCCAGGGGAUUCAGCUCUCUUGGCCUUAUUCAAAAAGUUGGCAAGCUCUUGAUAAGGGAGCUUGUGGCAUGGGUGGGGGGAGGUGGCCUAUAAGAUGUCCUCUGCAUGGACCCGGGCCAGGAACCAAGAAAUGAGGAAUUCAGGUAUGGUGUCUGGAGGCUAUGCCAAUCUACUAGGACUAGAGCUGAAAUAGCUCAGAUCAUGUGCAGAAUGCAGUGGUGAGGGACAGAACAUGGGGGCUCAGCUCUUUGUAUUUUAUUGUCUGAUGGUUAUUUGUUUCCCUUUCAUUCUUAUCUGGUAUUUAGUAAGGACAUUCGGAAAGCAAAUCUGGGGACUAUCCCUCACCAAGUAGGAGAAUCAUGUGGGAGAAUAAAAAGCCUGCUUGGGAGUCUGGGCUCUAAGCAGAGCUGAUUUUCCAGAGGCAUAUAUGUUUUCUUGAAGUUGUCCAACAUCAUUUUGUGAUUCUAGGCUCUUGGUUCACAGUCUAUAAGGGAACAGCUACUCCCAGCAAACAAACAGAAAAGGAAAAAUUUCCCCAGUGUUUUUCUUCCUUCUCUCUGUUGAUGUUUAUGUGUUAUUUCCAGGCAGAGGGCAAGACGCAGCAGAUUUCCUUUAUCCCUAGUGCAGCUUCUAAAAUUCCCCCCUCAC